GCGUAACGCGUAUAGAACCUACCUUAUAGUAAGGGAUAGCCCAGAGAAAUUUGGAUUAAUACCUUAUAGUAUUAUUGAUUGGCAUCGAUUAAUAAUUAAAGAUUUAUUGCUAUAAGAUGGCUAUGCGUUCUAUUAGCUAGUUGGUAUGGUAACGGCAUACCAAGGCUACGAUAGAUAGGGGUCCUGAGAGGGAGAUCCCCCACACUGGUACUGAGACACGGACCAGACUCCUACGGGAGGCAGCAGUGAGGAAUAUUGGACAAUGGAGGCAACUCUGAUCCAGCCAUGCCGCGUGUAGGAAGACUGCCCUAUGGGUUGUAAACUACUUUUAUAGAGGAAGAAACCCCGAUAUGUAUAUCGGUCUGACGGUACUCUACGAAUAAGGAUCGGCUAACUCCGUGCCAGCAGCCGCGGUAAUACGGAGGAUCCAAGCGUUAUCCGGAAUCAUUGGGUUUAAAGGGUCCGUAGGCGGUUUUGUAAGUCAGUGGUGAAAGUUUUCGGCUUAACCGGAAAAUUGCCAUUGAUACUGCAAGACUUGAAUUAUUGUGAAGUGGUUAGAAUGUGUAGUGUAGCGGUGAAAUGCAUAGAUAUUACACAGAAUACCGAUUGCGAAGGCAGAUCACUAACAAUAUAUUGACGCUAAGGGACGAAAGCGUGGGUAGCGAACAGGAUUAGAUACCCUGGUAGUCCACGCCGUAAACGAUGGUUACUAGCUGUUCGGACUUCGGUCUGAGUGGCUAAGCGAAAGUGAUAAGUAACCCACCUGGGGAGUACGUUCGCAAGAAUGAAACUCAAAGGAAUUGACGGGGGCCCG
Molecule: ribosomal RNA, 814 nt
Filed under: Bacteroidetes bacterium D295
Lineage: Bacteria; Pseudomonadati; Bacteroidota
Description: bacterial SSU rRNA
Rfam family: Bacterial small subunit ribosomal RNA
Source: RNAcentral